UAGUUUUAUUAUUUUCUGUGUCUCUGUGUGUGUGUUUUUCUCUUCUUCUUUUCACUUUAUCUCUCUAGAACUCUCCUUCUUCACUCUUAUCUUUCAUUUUGAUUUUAUUUUCCCAAGAAAAUCAAAUACAACACCAGAUUAUAAGGAUUUCAAGCGUUACAGAUCUGAAGAGUCCGAGAAAUUUUUGGAUAGUGAAGAGUUUUGAGGUUUUUUUUUUUAAGAUGCUUUUGGAAUUUAAAGAGAUCUGAGCAAGAAUAUCAGGGACAACUUGGGAUUUAUUUUUGAAAUCUUUUGAAUGCACAACAGACAGCUGGACAGACACACUCGUGAAAUAAAUUUUGGAACACUGAGUUAAUCUUUGAAUUUGAAACAAACACCCACAAUGAUGCAGAGGCCUCCGCUCGAGGAGUUUGUCUUGAAGGAGACCAAUCCCCAUCUCGGUGGGGGGAAGGUCACCGGGGACAAGCUCACUAGUACUUAUGAUCUUGUUGAGCAGAUGCAAUAUCUGUAUGUUCGUGUUGUUAAGGCUAAGGACUUGCCUGGGAAAGAUGUUACUGGUAGUUGUGACCCUUAUGUAGAAGUUAAGCUAGGGAACUAUAAGGGUACCACUCGACAUUUUGAGAAGAAGUCAAAUCCUGAGUGGAGCCAGGUGUUUGCCUUCUCCAAGGAUCGAAUUCAGGCCUCCGUGCUUGAGGUUACUGUUAAAGAUAAGGAUGUUGUGAAGGAUGACUUCAUGGGUCGAGUUUUGUUUGAUUUGAAUGAGGUACCUAAGCGUGUUCCUCCUGAUAGUCCUUUAGCACCACAGUGGUAUAGGUUGGAGGAUAGGAAAGGGGAUAAAGUUAAGGGGGAGUUGAUGUUAGCUGUGUGGAUGGGUACACAGGCAGAUGAAGCAUUUCCAGAAGCAUGGCAUUCUGAUGCUGCUGCUAUCAGCGGAAUGGACAGUCUUGCCAACAUUCGGUCAAAGGUAUAUCUCUCCCCUAAACUAUGGUAUUUGAGGGUCAAUGUCAUUGAAGCUCAAGAUUUGCAACCAAGUGAUAAAGGUCGAUAUCCAGAAGUUUUUGUGAAGGCUGUCUUGGGAAAUCAAGCUUUGAGAACGAGAAUUUCUCCAAGUAGGAGUAUUAAUCCUAUGUGGAAUGAGGAUCUUAUGUUUGUGGCUGCAGAGCCAUUUGAAGAGCCUUUGAUUUUAAGUGUGGAAGAUAGAAUUGCACCUAAUAAAGAGGAGGUACUGGGGAGAUGUGCGAUUCCUUUGCCGUAUAUUGACAGAAGGCUUGACCACAGACCUGUUAAUACCAGGUGGUUUAAUCUGGAGAAACAUGUUCUUGUGGAAGGUGAAAAGAAGAAGGAAAUUAAAUUUGCUAGCAGGAUUCACAUGAGAAUCUGUCUGGAGGGUGGCUAUCAUGUUCUGGAUGAAUCAACACACUACAGCAGCGAUCUUCGACCUACAGCCAAACAGCUUUGGAAGCAGAGCAUAGGGGUGCUUGAAGUAGGUAUUCUUAAUGCGCAGGGAUUGAUACCCAUGAAGACAAAGGAUGGUCGGGGAACAACAGAUGCCUACUGUGUGGCAAAGUACGGUCAGAAGUGGGUUCGUACUCGUACCAUUAUUGACAGCUUUGCACCCAAGUGGAAUGAGCAAUAUACCUGGGAGGUCUCUGAUCCCUGUACUGUCAUAACCAUUGGGGUUUUUGAUAAUUGUCAUUUGCAUGGAGGAGGGGAUAAGGCUGGAGGAGUUAAGGAUUCGAGGAUUGGGAAGGUACGAAUCCGUCUUUCCACACUUGAAACUGAUCGAGUUUACACACACUCAUACCCUCUCCUGGUCCUGCAUCCUAAUGGUGUCAAGAAGAUGGGAGAUAUUCAUUUAGCAGUCCGUUUCACAUGCUCAUCCUUGCUUAAUAUGAUGCACAUGUAUUCGCAUCCUCUGUUGCCAAAGAUGCACUAUCUCCAUCCACUUACAGUAAGCCAGCUUGAUAGCUUGAGGCACCAAGCCACUCAGAUUGUGUCAAUGAGGCUGAGCCGAGCAGAGCCGCCAUUACGGAAGGAAAUUGUUGAAUACAUGCUUGAUGUGGGGUCUCACAUGUGGAGUAUGAGAAGAAGCAAAGCCAAUUUUUUCAGAAUCAUGGGGGUGUUGAGUGGUUUGAUUGCAGUAGGGAAAUGGUUUGAUCAGAUUUGCAAUUGGAAAAACCCCAUCACAACAGUGCUCAUUCACAUAUUGUUUAUUAUAUUAGUGCUCUAUCCGGAGCUUAUUUUGCCUACGAUCUUUCUGUAUCUAUUCCUGAUUGGUGUAUGGUAUUAUAGAUGGAGGCCAAGGCAUCCUCCUCACAUGGACACUCGUCUGUCUCAUGCAGAAUCUGCACAUCCUGAUGAACUCGACGAGGAGUUCGAUACAUUCCCUACGUCACGACCUUCUGAUAUUGUAAGGAUGAGAUAUGAUAGGUUGAGAAGUAUUGCUGGGAGGAUUCAGACGGUGGUUGGGGAUUUAGCUACUCAAGGGGAAAGACUGCAGUCUUUGCUAAGCUGGCGAGACCCAAGGGCAACAGCUUUGUUCGUGAUUUUCUGUUUGAUAGCUGCCAUUGUUCUGUAUGUUACUCCUUUCCAAGUUGUGGCACUCCUGUCUGGAUUUUAUGUGUUGAGACAUCCAAGGUUUCGCCACAAGCUCCCCUCAGUACCGCUCAAUUUCUUCCGGCGGUUGCCGGCGAGAACUGAUUGCAUGCUUUGAGCAAGAAAGGGUUUUGAUUCGGCUUGUUGAGUCGGCGGGGGACAAGAUGCAGAAAGUAAUGGAGCUAGUUUGCUUUCCAUGUGUACGAGACGGGUAUGAUGUCUAACCUUCCUCCGAAGGUUGUGAUUGGAAUAUAAUCUUUGAUGACCCUUCUUCUAUAUGCUUUAACUACAUCUAUAGCUUUUAUGCAUUUCUUAUGUUGCAUUGUAUACAAUUGGUGACCGACUAUAUAGUGAGAAAUGCAUUGCUUGAUUCAUGUAGAAACAGUAAAAGUGAAUAAAAGUUACUGCUGCUUGGGGA
This is an RNA transcript of Mercurialis annua (annual mercury), 3013 nucleotides long. It is a transcript of the gene named FT-interacting protein 3, with no coding region annotated. The transcript has 4 exons. The record is from RefSeq and is a predicted model, not a curated record. Lineage: Eukaryota; Viridiplantae; Streptophyta; Magnoliopsida; Malpighiales; Euphorbiaceae.